Molecule: unclassified non-coding RNA, 768 nt
Filed under: Hevea brasiliensis (rubber tree)
Lineage: Eukaryota; Viridiplantae; Streptophyta; Magnoliopsida; Malpighiales; Euphorbiaceae
Source: RNAcentral
UCUUUUUCUUUCUGGACAAGAUUUUUUUUUUCUGCCGCUACAAGCAAUAGAGCAACGCUGGUCUCUCUCUCUCUCUCGCAACUCAUUGACGUACUCACUUGAGAGUUGGAGAGGGAAGCUUGCCGCUUGGGAUUCUACUUUCUCGACGGAUCUCAAUCCAACGCUCAAUCAUGGUUCUUCUACAGCCAGACCCGUUUCUUAAUGAACUCACAAGCAUGUUUGAACAAAGCACUGAGAAGGGAACUGUUUGGGUCACUCUCAAACGAUCAUCCUUGAUGUCCAAGGUGCAGAGGAAUAAAAUGGCAACUGCUGGUAAACCCGUUGAAUAUAGGUGUCUCAUCCGUGCAACCAAUGGCAAGAAGACAAUUUCUACUUCGGUUGGGGCAAAGGAUCACCAGCGCUUUCAAGCUUCAUAUACUACUAUUCUCAAGGCCCACAUGACUGCUUUAAAGAAGAGGGAGAGAAAGGACAAGAAAAAGGCUGCAGGGGCAGAUAAGAAAGAAGGUGGCUCAAAGAAGCCCUAGGGAGCCCAAAUUCCUGUUUUCUGAACCUCUGUAUAAAAUGGAAUACCUUUCAUUUCCUUUUAUGUACUCUUCAGCAUAACGAAAGUAGGUUUUGUCAUACCUUGAGAGUAAAGAAAUAUUUGUUUUGACUUUGAGCAUUUACUGAGAUUGAAGGAUGGGAUUUUGUUUGACUGCCCUUUUGUGGGCGUUGUUACUUGGGUUAAUAUUUAUAUGGGAGAAAAUAUUAACCCAAGUAACAACGCCC